This is a long non-coding RNA of Nerophis ophidion (straightnose pipefish), 2491 nucleotides long. RefSeq lists it as uncharacterized. Lineage: Eukaryota; Metazoa; Chordata; Actinopteri; Syngnathiformes; Syngnathidae. The record is from RefSeq and is a predicted model, not a curated record. The transcript has 3 exons.
AGCCUUGUUGUGCAUCUCCUGCAGACAGGGAGCGCGAGUGCACAGGUGGAACAGGUGUUGUUGUUGUUGCCAUGGCGACUGAUAAUGGAGUGACAAUUUGCUCUCGAUGUCCAGGUUGGACACGGCUGCAAGAAGAAGACAACACCUGUCAUUGGUCAGAUGUCCUGCAGGUGUCUUCCAUGCUUCCUGUUUACUUCAUGUUCCACACAGGUGAGAACAACUUCCUGUUUACGUCAUGUUCCACACAGGUGAGAACAACUUCCUGUUUACGUCAUGUUCCACACAGGUGACAACAACUUCCUGUUUACUUAAUGUUCCACACAGGUGACAACAACUUCCUGUUUACUUCAUGUUCCAAACAGGUGAGAACAACUUCCUGUUUACGUCAUGUUCCACACAGGUGAAAACAACUUCCUGUUUACUUCAUGUUCCACACAGGUGACAACAACUUCCUGUUUACGUCAUGUUCCACACAGGUGAAAACAACUUCCUGUUUACUUUAUGUUCCACACAGGUGACAACAACUUCCUGUUUACGUCAUGUUCCACACAGGUGACAACAACUUCCUGUUUACUUCAUGUUCCACACAGGAUGGAUGCUGGCGUGGCGACCAAGAUGGCGUCUUUACUAUUGGAGGGCGGGUUGUUCGCUGAGGACGUGUCUCCAUAGGCGUGGUGUGGCGGCCAGCCAACUAGCGUUUCUAUGGAAACCACUUGGAGAUGAAAGCUGCGAGGAGCCAGAGAGAUUCCCACAAUGCUUUGUGCCUGCUGGGGGAUCUCUGCUUGUCUUCACCUGGACAGGUGUUACCCGGAUUCUACUCCACUUAGCUUAGCAUUGUUGCAGCCGCUCAUUGGAAUGUGAAAAAAGAAAUCAACAAACAGCACACCUGAGGGCCCAAAUCAACAAACAGCACACCUGAGGGCCCAAAUCAACAAACAGCACACCUGAGGGCCCAAAUCAACAAACAGCACACCUGAGGGCCCAAAUAAACAAACAGCACACCUGAGGGCCCAAAUCAACAAACAGCACACCUGAGGGCCCAAAUCAACAAACAGCACACCUGAGGGCCCAAAUCAACAAACAGCACACCUGAGGGCCCAAAUCAACAAACAGCACACCUGAGGGCCCAAAUCAACAAACAGCACACCUGAGGGCCCAAAUCAACAAACAGCACACCUGAGGGCCCAAAUCAACAAACAGCACACCUGAGGGCCCAAAUCAACAAACAGCACACCUGAGGGCCCAAAUCAACAAACAGCACACCUGAGGGCCCAAAUCAACAAACAGCACACCUGAGGGCCCAAAUGAACAAACAGCACAUCUGAGGGCCCAAAUAAACAAACAGCACACCUGUGUUUAGUUGUGUGAUAUAAUGUGUGAUACAAGCGUGUUUUCUUGUGUGUGAUAUUAUGUGUGAUGCAAGCAGUGUAUACUUGUGCGAUACAAGCAUUAAUGCAGCAUGUUCACUUGUGUGAAAUAUCAUGUGCUAUACAAGCAGAGUGUUUACAUGUGUGUGACAGCAUGUGUGAUACAAGCAGAGUGUUGUGUGAUAUCAUGUGCGAUACAAGCAUGAAUACAGCAUGUUUGCUUGUGUGUGAUAUCAUGUGUGAUACAAGCAUUAAUACAGCCCGUUGUGUGUGAUAGCAUGUGUGAUACAAGCAUUAAUACAGCUAGUUUACUUGUGUGUGACAUCAUGUGCGAUACAAGCAUUAGUACAGCCUGUUUAAUUGUGUGUGAUAUAAUGUGCGAUACAAGCAGUUCUGCCGUGUGUUUACUUGUGUUUGAUAUCAUGUGCUAGACUACAAACGUAUCAUUAAUACAACGUGUUUACCUGCGUGUGAUCUCAUGUGCAAUACAAGCAUUAAUACAGCAUGUUUACUUGUGUGGGAUAUCAUGUGCGAUACAAGCAGAGUGUUUACUUGUGUGAUAUCAUGUGCAAUACAAGCAUUAAUGCAGCAUGUUUACUUGUGUGUGAUAUCAUGUGCAAUACAAGCAUUAAUGCAGCAUGUUUACUUGUGUGUGAUAUAAGCAGUCUUGCAGCGUGUUUACUUGUUUGUGACAUCAUGUGCAAUACAAGCAUUAAAUACAGCAUGUUUACUUGUGUGGGAUAUCAUGUGCGAUACAAGCAGAGUGUUUACUUGUGUGAUAUCAUGGGCGAUACAAGCAUUAAUACAGCAUGUUUACUUGUGUGGGAUAUCAUGUGCGAUACAAGCAGAGUGUUUACUUGUUUGUGACAUCAUGUGCGAUACAAGCAUUAGUACAGCCUGUUUACUUGUGUGAUAUCAUGUGCGAUACAAGCAGUCCUGCAGCGUGUUUACUUUUGUUUGAUAUCAUGUGCUAGACUACAAACGUAUCAUUAAUACAGCGUGUUAACCUGCGUGUGAUCUCAUGUGCAAUACAAGCAUUAAUACAGCAUGUUUACUUGUGUGGGAUAUCAUGUGCGAUACAAGCAGAGUGUUUGUUUGUGUAAUAUCAUGUGCGGUACAAGCAU